AGAUAAGUGCAUGAUGGAACAAUAGGACUCCCCAGGGCUGAAGCUGGGAUCCCGGCCAGCCAGGUGACCCCCACGCUCUGGAUGUCUCUGCUCUGUUCCUUCCCCGAGCCCCUGCCCCGGCUCCCCGCCAAAGCACCCCUGCCCACUCGGGCUUCAUCCUGCAAAAUAAACUCCGGAAGCAAGUCAGUAGGGCUGGCUCCUGGCUGUCUGUGCUGUCAUCACCUGUCCUGGGCCUGGCCCUGGCCACCCGGACCUCCCCCUCUAAAAUCUCAGCCUGACGUCAACAAAGGAACAGGCCCUCUAGUGUUUGCUCCCAGUGGGGUCUUGAGUCAGGACAGCUAGGAGGGGGUGUCCCUCACUGUCUCCCACCCACCCCACACAGUCGUGUGCCCCUGCCCCACAGCCCCACACGUCGGGCCAUACCCCCUCAGCUGCCACUGCCACCAGGCCGGUGCUGAGCUGGGGGUCAGUGACUCAUCUAAUCCCUUAGGCAGGUGCCCUGCACCCCCAACCCCACCCUGUCACCCCCUCAGCAGGAAAGGCCUGAGGCUCGAGGCCCCAGAGGAGCUUUGGACCUGUUGGGUAUCUUGAGGUGUGGGAUUAACGCACUGAGAUUGGGCAGAGAUAAGGGUUUCAGGGGACAAAAAGAAACAUUGA
This 657-nucleotide long non-coding RNA is filed under the name Pan troglodytes (chimpanzee). RNAcentral's name for it is "long non-coding RNA NONPTRT017691". Lineage: Eukaryota; Metazoa; Chordata; Mammalia; Primates; Hominidae. The record is from RNAcentral.